UACGAAGGAUGCGAGCGUUAUCCGGAUUUAUUGGGUUUAAAGGGAGCGUAGGCGGUCUUAUAAGUCAGUGGUGAAAUCUCUCGGCUUAACCGAGAACGUGCCAUUGAUACUGUAGGACUUGAGUACAGAUGCCGUUGGCGGAAUGUGUCAUGUAGCGGUGAAAUGCAUAGAUAUGACACAGAACACCGAUUGCGAAGGCAGCUGACGAAACUGUAACUGACGCUGAGGCUCGAAAGCGUGGGGAUCAAACAGG
RNAcentral lists this ribosomal RNA (253 nucleotides) under uncultured bacterium. RNAcentral's name for it is "partial 16S ribosomal RNA". It matches the Rfam family "Bacterial small subunit ribosomal RNA", at positions 524 to 776 of the family's 1533-position model. The record is from RNAcentral.